Molecule: non-coding RNA, 30 nt
Filed under: Rattus norvegicus (Norway rat)
Lineage: Eukaryota; Metazoa; Chordata; Mammalia; Rodentia; Muridae
Source: RNAcentral
UUCUAAGUGUGGUUGAUUGUUGAUUGAAGA